This 513-nucleotide ribosomal RNA is filed under the name Euastacus setosus. RNAcentral describes it as "eukaryotic LSU rRNA". It matches the Rfam family "Eukaryotic large subunit ribosomal RNA", at positions 1103 to 1582 of the family's 3401-position model. The record is from RNAcentral. Lineage: Eukaryota; Metazoa; Arthropoda; Malacostraca; Decapoda; Parastacidae.
CGGCGGUUAAUACGAGUAUCUAGUGGGCCAUUUUUUGGUAAGCAGAACUGGCGCUGUGGGAUGAACCAAACGUCGAGGUAAGGGGCCUAAAUGAAUGCUCAUUCAGAUCCCAUCGAAAGGUGUUGGUUGCUAUAGACAGCAGGACGGUGGCCAUGGAAGUUGGAAUCCGCUAAGGAGUGUGUAACAACUCACCUGCCGAAGCAACUAGCCCUUAAAAUGGUAUGGCGCUGAAGCAUUCUCCCGAUACUCGACCGCCGGGUGCACUAGCGGCCACGUCCCAGUGGCGUGGUCUCGAAGUCCCGGUGAGUAAGAGGGUCGCAGUGGUGAGCGCUGAAGGGAUCCGGCGUGAGCCGGCCUGGAGCUUCCACUGGUGCAGAUCUUGGUGGUAGUAGCAAAUACUCGAGAGAGACUCCCUUGAAGACCGAUGUGGAGAAGGGUUCCAUGUGAACAUCAGUUGGACAUGGGUUAGUCGCUCCUAAGCCCAAGGCUAAGGCCUGAUCCUACGCCAGCGGC